This is a long non-coding RNA of Oncorhynchus tshawytscha (Chinook salmon), 425 nucleotides long. RefSeq lists it as uncharacterized. The transcript has 3 exons. The record is from RefSeq and is a predicted model, not a curated record. Lineage: Eukaryota; Metazoa; Chordata; Actinopteri; Salmoniformes; Salmonidae.
UUUGUUCUUAUCCUUGCCUAGUUAAAUGAAGGUUAAAAACAUUUAAUUCUUGGGGCAUUUUAUCAGUGGGAGACUUGAGUCAGGAAGUGGAAAUGCUUAAGGAACUGAAAGACUAUGUGCCUGGAAAUCUUAAGUGAAGACUAUCAGAAUCCUCCUCCACGAACCAGCUGGAGUGGGAAAAUCCAGCUUCAUCAACUCCAUCAAUUGUGUGUUUCAGGGUCACAUUACGAGUAUCACCUUGGCCAACUUCACUGCUGCAGGUGAAAGCAUUGCCAGAAAAUACGAAACCCACAAAAUCUAAAAAAGAAAAACAUGGAAUCUAUUUCCCAUUGGUGUUCAAUGAUGUCAUGGGUCUGGAGAAAAGUGUCAAAGGUGUGCGUAAGGCUGACAUCAUCAAGGCCCUAAAGAGUCAUAUAAAAGAUGGC